This is a non-coding RNA of Pelobates cultripes (western spadefoot toad), 315 nucleotides long. The record is from the annotation of a GenBank genome assembly. NCBI's taxonomy places the organism in Eukaryota, Metazoa, Chordata, Amphibia, Anura, Pelobatidae.
AUACAUGACUAAGGUCUUUAGUCAAAAAUAUUUUAUCUUUUUUUGUUCUUUUUGUGAUGCCUGUGGAAUUCUACUUGUUGUUCCUGGUGGGCUGCUGACCUCCCUCCACAGAGCUCCUGCAUAAAUGCACUUGUGUGCAGCACUCCUUUGACUUUAUGACAUACAUCUUUGUCAGGCCAUCUUUGCUAAGAAUCACAUAUAGAGAUCUUUUGAAUCCCUUAGCAGAUUUUAUUCGCCUCUGUAAUAGUCCAGUCAUAAUAGCAGCUACCACUUAAUCUGGUCAUUUUCUCUAUUAAUCUGCUGCUUACAUAAGGC